RNAcentral lists this ribosomal RNA (394 nucleotides) under Escherichia coli. Its description in RNAcentral is "bacterial SSU rRNA". It matches the Rfam family "Bacterial small subunit ribosomal RNA", at positions 304 to 690 of the family's 1533-position model. Lineage: Bacteria; Pseudomonadati; Pseudomonadota; Gammaproteobacteria; Enterobacterales; Enterobacteriaceae. The record is from RNAcentral.
CCAGCCACACUGGAACUGAGACACGGUCCAGACUCCUACGGGAGGCAGCAGUGGGGAAUAUUGCACAAUGGGCGCAAGCCUGAUGCAGCCAUGCCGCGUGUAUGAAGAAGGCCUUCGGGUUGUAAAGUACUUUCAGCGGGGAGGAAGGGAGUAAAGUUAAUACCUUUGCUCAUUGACGUUACCCGCAGAAGAAGCACCGGCUAACUCCGUGCCAGCAGCCGCGGUAAUACGGAGGGUGCAAGCGUUAAUCGGAAUUACUGGGCGUAAAGCGCACGCAGGCGGUUUGUUAAGUCAGAUGUGAAAUCCCCGGGCUCAACCUGGGAACUGCAUCUGAUACUGGCAAGCUUGAGUCUCGUAGAGGGGGGUAGAAUUCCAGGUGUAGCGGUGAAAUGCG